This 269-nucleotide ribosomal RNA is filed under the name uncultured prokaryote. RNAcentral describes it as "partial 16S ribosomal RNA". It matches the Rfam family "Bacterial small subunit ribosomal RNA", at positions 524 to 792 of the family's 1533-position model. The record is from RNAcentral.
UACGAGGGGUGCUAGCGUUAUUCGGAAUCAUUGGGCGUAAAGGGUGCGUAGACGGUGUAUUAAGUCUGUUGUUAAAUUUUCCGGCCUAACCGGAAGCCAGCGGUAGAAACUAAUACACUAGAGGAUGGAAGAGAGAAGUGGAAUUCUCGGAGUAGCGGUAAAAUGCGUGGAUCUCGAGAGGAACACCGAUGGCGAAGGCAGCUUCUUGGUCCAUUCCUGACGUUGAGGCACGAAAGCGUGGGGAGCAAACAGGAUUAGAUACCCCCGUA